GUCAGUGUGGCAUAGUGGUUUGAGCACUGGACUAUGACUCUGGAGACCAGGGUUGGAAUCCUGGUUCAGCCC
This is a non-coding RNA of Phrynosoma platyrhinos (Desert horned lizard), 72 nucleotides long. The record is from the annotation of a GenBank genome assembly. NCBI's taxonomy places the organism in Eukaryota, Metazoa, Chordata, Lepidosauria, Squamata, Phrynosomatidae.